CAUGGCAGUAGGGCUCAAGGGUGUGUGGGUUAGGGGUCGGGGUUUGGCUGGAACUGAGGGUAGGAAAAAAAAGAGGGGGAGGGGGGUCAGGGGACUGGGGAAAGGGCCACUGGAUAGAGGACCCAAAGCCAGAAAAAGCACUUGUUUAUGGUUGAGCUUGCAGCGAGCCAGCGGGGCUGCAAGAGCAGGUUGGAAGGGGAAGGCAGUGACGACAUCGCAGACACUGUCAGGACAUGGAGCUGCUCGCUCUCUGGAAAGCUCUGGAGGAAAACCGCCCUGCGGGGCCAGAUGAAAUGCACUUGAAGGCCAAAGAGAAAGAAAAAAAAAAAAAGCCUACCCUUCAGAAAGUUCUGGAGUAGAGAGUCAGAGCCAAAGUCAUGCAGGAGGUUCACGGAUAUUGUGAAGCCGGGAUUUAUAGAGAUGAAAGGAGAUGCCUUUACAAACUACUACACUUACUGUCACAUAGGACAUGUCUAGGUGUCUGCAGCUUUUACCCUGUCGAUCAAUGGCUUGGCUGACUUCUCCAGGAAAGGAAGUUGUGAAACUUCUAAGGAGUUAGAGGACAGGGUGUGCACACACAGACUUAGCAUUAAAUAAAAAUAAAAUUGGGAGCACUGGACAUUUUCCGAGGCCUUUUUAAAAAAAAAAAAAAGUAUAUGUUUUUAAACAGCAACAGAUCAUGGGUCCUGGGAUAUAUUUUCAUUAGGGAUGGUCCAAUAACUUGCGGGGCUCAUCGUUAUAUUUUAAUCAUAUAUUUAGUAGCCUGUUGAAGGCAGUUUUCAAGAAACAGUAUUCUUAAACAGUAAAUUGUAGAUCGUGCCACACAAGUUUCGUUUCAUGAUCAAGUGAAAUGUUAAACUCUCUUAAAUGCGAGGGCUCAUUUUGACUGAAACUUAAAAUAGUGCAGGUUGCAGAAGUCACUUUUAAAUUUCAAAAGCUCCUUUCAAGGGACACGCUGAUGAUCGCAUUUCAGUUUCCAGUUUUAAAAAACACCAAACAAACCAGGCUCUUGAUGUGGCAGAUGUCUUUGUUUAUACCCCAAAGCUGGGGUGGGGGGGGGGGGGGGGUUAAAGGGAAAAUGUGGAACGGCUUUUUUUUUUAAGUCCCUGGCUCCCCUAAGCCGCGUUGCCUCUGAUGGAUAGACGGUUUUAUGUGGUGAGUGAAGAGUGAAAUGUUUCUCUUCCUGAUUCCAAAGUGUAGACGCGGGAUCAUUCAGAAAAACGCUCGGCGGCUUGCAGGCCCGGAGAAGGCCUGAGUCACCCUCCCUCGCUUGCCUUCUCUUACGGGAACAGUGAGAAGAAGACACGCCUUCCCUGUGUCACAGCCCAAGGUCACAGUCACCAGUGAAUGGAACACAGUUACCUACUUCCAUCCGUCCGCUGAGUCACCUCCGAGGGAACUGUGCCCAGAGAUGCGAACUCGAGUGCGUGAGAGGAGGCUCAGGACGGCCCACUUCUGUCCCAGGUCCACAGACGCCCGGGGACAAAGUUCUCUGCAGAUGAGCCUUCAGAGAUCGUGAACACCACAAAUCUGUAGCAACCGAAGGAACGCAUUCAAGGUGACAAACAUUACCCGAGUGGAGGAUCACUGGUGACUCAACUGAGCCUGGGACCGCUCAUCGGUGACUGUGAGGUUCAACGCCCUUGGAGAUAAGAGGCCUUACUGUAUACAGACUGCGAUUUUGCCAUUUCAGCAAACAUUUAUCGGGCCGCCCGGGUCACCUGCUUCCUUUGACGGCCCCGAACCGUUCUGACAGAUAUCAGCAACCCAUUUCAGCCCCCGCUGUGUCCGUUUCUUCGCGGGCGGCGCCAGCCUGCGCCUUCUUGGAAGAUAAGCUUCCAGGUGAUCGUGAUGGACAACCUCACAGGCACACCUGACUGAUUCCGGGCCCUCAGGCAGGACGAUCUCCAAGGAGGAAUCCAUGGAGCUGGUGUAGAUACUACACUGACGUUUUACUAAGA
Long non-coding RNA from Myotis brandtii (Brandt's bat), 1961 nucleotides. RefSeq lists it as uncharacterized. NCBI's taxonomy places the organism in Eukaryota, Metazoa, Chordata, Mammalia, Chiroptera, Vespertilionidae. The transcript is spliced from 5 exons. The record is from RefSeq and is a predicted model, not a curated record.